Long non-coding RNA from Ostrinia nubilalis (European corn borer), 2479 nucleotides. RefSeq lists it as uncharacterized. The transcript has 6 exons. Lineage: Eukaryota; Metazoa; Arthropoda; Insecta; Lepidoptera; Crambidae. The record is from RefSeq and is a predicted model, not a curated record.
UUUCGAAAUUCUGAGUUAAAAAAAUCUUGAUUCCGAAAUAUUCGGAAAUAAAAGCAAACAAAAAAGCAAUUUUCAUUGCUCAUAAUGGUCAUUUUACCGUAUUUACAUUGUUUACCGUGUAAACAAGAUUGUUUCAUAUUACGUAUACGAUACCAAAUGCAUCGUGACCGGUUGCUCGUCCACCAAGUCCAGGGUUUUUUCUCUGGCACGUGAUGAAGCAUUGCAGGCUCUAAGGAUACAGUAACUCCUGCUUGCAAAUCCUUUAUCAGGAACUAUGACAAAGGAGCAACUUCGUCAAAGAAAGGUCUGCCAAUCGCAUUUUGAGGAUAAAUAAAUCUAAAACAAUCUAUUGAUUAUGAUGAAUGGAUGUCCAAUUUUUUUAUCCAUGAAGAAAAUAAUAACAUCUCGGCGACCAUCCAAGCUGUUGCUGAUCAGGUCAUCCAGUAAGUUAAACUGCUAAUAGAGAUAACUUCAAUUCAAUGUUGUUGCCAGAUAAUGCUGUGAGUGAAGAAACUGUAUCCUGCCAUCUACAUCAGAGCCACAUCUGUCAUUAUGGAUAAUAUUAUUGCUGCGUCCUAAGAUAUCAUAAUAAUGUAUUUAAUUUAUUAAAAUUCCCACGGGAACGGGAGUAAGCGGGAAAAAACAUUUGUAUGAAAAAAUCUAAACCGCGUAAGAUAGAUCAACGCACAGCCGAAACGGCUAAACAUAGGCACUUGAAAUUUGGAAGGGACGUAGCUUAGGUACCGUAGAGAUGCACUAAGAAAGGAAUCCCCGAAAUUCCCACGGGAACGGAAAUCAGCGGGAAAAAACAUUUGUAUGAAAAAAUCUAUACCGCGUAAGAUAGAUGAAGGGGGUAAAACGGGAUCCACGCGUACGAAGUCGCGGGCGGCCGCUAGUAUUCUUCUAAAAUUAUUAAUAUCCGAUCCGACUCCUUCCGUCUCCAGGCCAUAAGGCUCUGGAACUCUCUGCCUGAAGAGACCAGGCAAGCGUCUAGUUCAGCUUGCAAAUAAACCCAUCAAGCAGAGGCGGUACACACAAACAAAAGAUUCCGGCCCAGUGUAUGGUUUUUUCAACUAAAGUUUUUUGUUAUUUUUGCCUCAAGAAUGUACUUAUUGUGAAUUUCUUUGUUAAUGGCUGUAUAGUUUUACUUGAGUCAAAGAAAAUCGUAGUUUUUGUAUAAACAAAUAAUUUAUAAAUCUAUAUUAGGGUAAAUUUUAUUGUCGUCUUUUUUUUUCUUAGAAACUUGCAGUAGAUUAUUCACUUUUUGGAAACUGAUAAUAACUUGUUAAUACCAUAAUUUAUUAUGGAAAAUUGUACUGUUAAGUAGGUCUUUUGUUGAUGGCUGUAUAGUUUUACGCAAGUUAAAGAAAAUCGUAGUAUAUUUUUUUCUACACAAAUUUUACUUAUAAGGGGACAUAAUUGAUUGUUUGUUUGUUUAUAUUGAAGAGGCUCCGAAACUAAGUACUGGACUUUUUUUCGGAAAACAAUUUGAAAAAUUAUUUCACAAUUAGAAUCCUUCAUUUUCCCUAAUGAAGAUAGGCUAAAACCGGAUUUUUACUGGCGGUACGAAGUUCGCCGGGUCAGCUAGUUUCUUAUAAACAUGCAAAUACGGUAAAAAUGAUUCAUUUUGUUAAUGGCUGUCUAGUGUUACGCAAUUACAGGUAAUCAUCAUUUUUAUUGUAAACAGAAUUAGGUACCAUUUAUUUAUAAAUAGCUUUUGCCCGCGGCUUCACCCGCGUGAAAUUUAGUGCCACAGAUUGGCAUAAAUUAUACCCUAUUAUGUUAAUCUGGGUUACAAAUAAUAAUACUGUAAAGUUUCAACCAAAUCCGUUCAGUAAUUUUUGCGUGAAAGAGUAACAAACAUCCACACAAACUUUGACCUUUAUAAUAUUAGUAGGAUUUAUAGUCUGCGACAAUAGAAAUGUUCGCUCGCUUGUAAACAAUAAAUUAUUGCAAAAAGUUAAUAAUUAUAUUAUUCUGUUCUGUUGGCUUCAAUGGUGGGUACUUUUAAUUACAAAAAGUUAAACUCUCGGUAAAAUUGAUAUUUAGUAUGGAAAUGUAAUUUUAAACCAGUGUUCAUCCCAUUCAUAGAGGAGGUUUAAUUGUCGAAGGUUCAUCCUGGGCUUAAUUUCUUUUGUAAUAAUGGGUUUAAUGACUAAAAUUGACUCAAACAGAGAUAAAUUAACUAAGAAUCUUUAACAUUUACUUACUUGGCAAUUAAAGAUAGAUUUACUCAAAUUCUACUUCCUACUAAUAUUAUAAAUGCGAAAGUUUGUAUGGAUGUCUGGAAUCUGGAUGUUAAAUGUUUGUUAGUCUUUCACGAAAAAACUACUGAACGGAUUUUGAUGAAACUUUGCAGUAUUAUACUUUAAAACCCAAAGUAACUAACAUACAGGGUGGAAUUUUGUAAUGCCACUCGGAGGUAAAGUACUCUUAAUACUGUAGAUACAAAAUUGUAGUCAAAGAAAACAUUUCUUUA